RNAcentral lists this long non-coding RNA (260 nucleotides) under Rattus norvegicus (Norway rat). Its description in RNAcentral is "long non-coding RNA NONRATT005435". The record is from RNAcentral. Lineage: Eukaryota; Metazoa; Chordata; Mammalia; Rodentia; Muridae.
GCCGACCCACCCACCUCAAGAGAACCAUCCACUUGCAGCUAGGUGGCCAUCACGGCAGGGGUUGAGCCACCCUCAUGGAAGGGAGAGGACCCUACCGGAUCUACGACCCAGGGGGCAGCACGCCUCUGGGAGAGGAGGUGUCCGCAGCUUUUGACCGUCUAGUGGAGGAGAAUACUCGGCUGAAGGGAAAAAUACAAGGGAUAAAGAUGUUAGGAGAGCUUCUGGAGGAAUCUCAAAUGGAAGCGUCCAGACUCCGGCAG